Molecule: ribosomal RNA, 216 nt
Filed under: uncultured bacterium
Lineage: Bacteria
Description: partial 16S ribosomal RNA
Rfam family: Bacterial small subunit ribosomal RNA
Source: RNAcentral
GACGAACGCUGGCGGCGUGCUUAACACAUGCAAGUCGAGCGGUAAGGCCCUUUCGGGGGUACACGAGCGGCGAACGGGUGAGUAACACGUGGGUGACCUGCCCUCAGCUCUGGGAUAAGCCUGGGAAACUGGGUCUAAUACUGGAUAUGACUCCACGGUGCAUGUCGUGGGGUGGAAAGCCUUGUGCGGCUGAGGAUGGGCCCGCGGCCUAUCAGC